This 284-nucleotide ribosomal RNA is filed under the name uncultured Spirotrichea. RNAcentral describes it as "partial small subunit ribosomal RNA". It matches the Rfam family "Eukaryotic small subunit ribosomal RNA", at positions 184 to 469 of the family's 1831-position model. The record is from RNAcentral. Lineage: Eukaryota; Ciliophora; Spirotrichea.
UGCCGACUUACGAAGGGCCGUAUUUAUUAGAUAUCAGCCAAUAAGCAUCCGCUAUUGUGGUGACUCAUAGUAACUUAAUCGGAUCGCAUGGGCUCGUCCCGCGACAAACCAUUCAAGUUUCUGCCCCAUCAUGCUUUCGAUGGUAGUGUAUUGGACUACCAUGGCUUUCACGGGUAACGGAGGAUUAGGGUUCGAUUCCGGAGAGGGAGCCUGAGAAACGGCUACCACUUCCACGGAAGGCAGCAGGCGCGUAAAUUACCCAAUCCUAAUUCAGGGAGGUAGUG